UUCUUCAUGCAGUGUCAGUAUUACAGCCAAUGAGUUUUAUUCAAGGCAAGAUUAUUGCUAUUGGAAAACUUUCCCUAAUUACCCUGCUCUGACAACUUGCAACAUAGAUGGCAUUGGCAAUUUUUGACAGUCACUAUGGAGA
Small nuclear RNA from Nycticebus coucang (slow loris), 142 nucleotides. RefSeq annotates it as U4 spliceosomal RNA. The transcript has a single exon. The record is from RefSeq and is a predicted model, not a curated record. NCBI's taxonomy places the organism in Eukaryota, Metazoa, Chordata, Mammalia, Primates, Lorisidae.